RNAcentral lists this ribosomal RNA (658 nucleotides) under Salmonella enterica. Its description in RNAcentral is "partial 23S ribosomal RNA". It matches the Rfam family "Bacterial large subunit ribosomal RNA", at positions 593 to 1251 of the family's 2925-position model. RNAcentral also lists the same sequence under 1 other name. Lineage: Bacteria; Pseudomonadati; Pseudomonadota; Gammaproteobacteria; Enterobacterales; Enterobacteriaceae. The record is from RNAcentral.
GUGACUGCGUACCUUUUGUAUAAUGGGUCAGCGACUUAUAUUCUGUAGCAAGGUUAACCGAAUAGGGGAGCCGGAGGGAAACCGAGUCUUAAUUGGGCGUUAAGUUGCAGGGUAUAGACCCGAAACCCGGUGAUCUAGCCAUGGGCAGGUUGAAGGUUGGGUAACACUAACUGGAGGACCGAACCGACUAAUGUUGAAAAAUUAGCGGAUGACCUGUGGCUGGGGGUGAAAGGCCAAUCAAACCGGGAGAUAGCUGGUUCUCCCCGAAAGCUAUUUAGGUAGCGCCUCGUGAAUUCAUCUCCGGGGGUAGAGCACUGUUUCGGCUAGGGGGCCAUCCCGGCUUACCAACCCGAUGCAAACUGCGAAUACCGGAGAAUGUUAUCACGGGAGACACACGGCGGGUGCUAACGUCCGUCGUGAAGAGGGAAACAACCCAGACCGCCAGCUAAGGUCCCAAAGUCAUGGUUAAGUGGGAAACGAUGUGGGAAGGCCCAGACAGCCAGGAUGUUGGCUUAGAAGCAGCCAUCAUUUAAAGAAAGCGUAAUAGCUCACUGGUCGAGUCGGCCUGCGCGGAAGAUGUAACGGGGCUAAACCAUGCACCGAAGCUGCGGCAGCGACGCUGAUGCGUUGUUGGGUAGGGGAGCGUUCUGUAAGCCUG